CCUUUCGGGGUGUAAACCACUUUUGUCGGGGACGACGGGGAGGCUUUCGGGUCUCGCCAGACGGUACCCGGCGAAGAAGGCCCGGCUAACUACGUGCCAGCAGCCGCGGUAAGACGUAGGGGCCAAGCGUUGUCCGGAGUAACUGGGCGUAAAGGGCGCGCAGGCGGUGCGUCACGUCGGGUGUGAAAGCCCCCCGCUCAACGGGGGAGGGUCAUCCGAAACGGACGGACUGGAGGCAGGGAGAGGUCGGUGGAAUUCCCGGAGUAGUGGUGAAAUGCGUAGAUCUCGGGAGGAACACCAGAGGCGAAGGCGGCCGACUGGACCUGACCUGACGCUGAGGCGCGAAGGCGUGGGGAGCGAACGGGAUUAGAUACCCCGGUAGUCCACGCAGUAAACGAUGUGCACUAGGCGGGGGAUGUAUUGACCCAUUCCGUGCCGUAGCUAACGCGCUAAGUGCACCGCCUGGGGAGUACGGUCGCAAGACUAAAACUCAAAGGAAUUGACGGGGCCCCGCACAAGCAGCGGAGCGUGUGGUUUAAUUCGAUGCAACGCGAAGAACCUUACCAGGACUUGACAGCUUCGGAAGACGAGGGAAACCUCGUUGUGCUCGUAAAAAAACCGAAAAACAGGUGUUGCAUGGCUGUCGUCAGCUC
This 653-nucleotide ribosomal RNA is filed under the name uncultured bacterium. RNAcentral describes it as "bacterial SSU rRNA". It matches the Rfam family "Bacterial small subunit ribosomal RNA", at positions 414 to 1061 of the family's 1533-position model. The record is from RNAcentral.